This is a long non-coding RNA of Malus domestica (apple), 782 nucleotides long. RefSeq lists it as uncharacterized. The record is from RefSeq and is a predicted model, not a curated record. NCBI's taxonomy places the organism in Eukaryota, Viridiplantae, Streptophyta, Magnoliopsida, Rosales, Rosaceae.
ACCAACCACAUAUGUUUGUUGAUUGUUCACCCGAAGUCUUCCCUCCCUCUUAAACUACUAUAUAUAGCUGGUUUUACCUUCACCAUAUCUUCUCCAAACCAUUGUAGUGACUCCCUAAAUUUUUCUAAUUUUCUUUAUCUUUCUCCAGGUGGGGAGGUUUUCAGAUAUUAAAAAAGGAGAGAGACAAAGAUGAGCAGAAGAGGAAGUAGUAGUCCAAAGCUUGAAUUGAAGCUAAAUCUGUCUCCUCCAAGUGCUAACUCAUCACCAAUUGACACCUCAAAUGCCUCCGAGUCAUCCUCGGACAUGUUAAUCGACCGCAGCUCAUACGUGUCGUCAGAACCAGACGAUGAGACGAUGCAUUGCCUGAGCAGGCCCGAAGCCAAGGCGAGGGUGCUUGCAGGGUGUCCUCGGUGCCUCAUGUAUGUCAUGCUAUCUGAAUUGGAUCCAAACUGCCCAAAAUGCAAAAGCUCUGUCUUGCUCGAUUUCCUUAACGAAGAAAGCACCAAGAGGAAAGGAAUGUGAUCAGGAACAUAUAUGGCCUACUGAGGCUUUGGGUACCUGCAUACUGAGGCUUUGGGUUUUCGGGAUAUGCCUUUUUCUUCUUCCUUAGAAACAAUUUUAUGUUGUUUUUGCCCCGUUGAGUUGAUUGCCUUUAGCUUCGAGUAGCUUGUAGAGUUGUUAGGUUGUUUAUUGUAAGAUUGUGGAAAUUUCAUUUUCUAGCUACGUACUUUUCCUCUUCUAUGUGCAUGGAUCCUAAUUUAAUAGAGAAAAUUGUAGCAAUA